RNAcentral lists this ribosomal RNA (208 nucleotides) under uncultured Syntrophaceae bacterium. Its description in RNAcentral is "partial 16S ribosomal RNA". It matches the Rfam family "Bacterial small subunit ribosomal RNA", at positions 1174 to 1382 of the family's 1533-position model. Lineage: Bacteria; Pseudomonadati; Thermodesulfobacteriota; Syntrophia; Syntrophales; Syntrophaceae. The record is from RNAcentral.
UGGGGAUGACGUCAAGUCCUCAUGGCCUUAUGCCCAGGGCUACACACGUGCUACAAUGGGUGGUACAAAGAGAUGCAAGCUCGCGAGAGCAAGCCAACCUCAAAAAGCCAUCCUCAGUUCGGAUUGGAGUCUGCAACUCGACUCCAUGAAGUUGGAAUCGCUAGUAAUCGCGGAUCAGCAUGCCGCGGUGAAUACGUUCCCGGGCCUU